GCUACACAUGCAGUCGAACGGCAGCACAGGAGAGCUUGCUCUCUGGGUGGCGAGUGGCGGACGGGUGAGGAAUACAUCGGAAUCUACCUUUUCGUGGGGGAUAACGUAGGGAAACUUACGCUAAUACCGCAUACGACCUACGGGUGAAAGUGGGGGACCGCAAGGCCUCACGCGAUUAGAUGAGCCGAUGUCCGAUUAGCUAGUUGGCGGGGUAAUGGCCCACCAAGGCGACGAUCGGUAGCUGGUCUGAGAGGAUGAUCAGCCACACUGGAACUGAGACACGGUCCAGACUCCUACGGGAGGCAGCAGUGGGGAAUAUUGGACAAUGGGCGCAAGCCUGAUCCAGCCAUACCGCGUGGGUGAAGAAGGCCUUCGGGUUGUAAAGCCCUUUUGUUGGGAAAGAAAUCCUGUCGAUUAAUACUCGGUGGGGAUGACGGUACCCAAAGAAUAAGCACCGGCUAACUUCGUGCCAGCAGCCGCGGUAAUACGAAGGGUGCAAGCGUUACUCGGAAUUACUGGGCGUAAAGCGUGCGUAGGUGGUGGUUUAAGUCUGCUGUGAAAGCCCUGGGCUCAACCUGGGAAUUGCAGUGGAUACUGGAUCACUAGAGUGUGGUAGAGGGAUGCGGAAUUUCUGGUGUAGCAGUGAAAUGCGUAGAGAUCAGAAGGAACAUCCGUGGCGAAGGCGGCAUCCUGGGCCAACACUGACACUGAGGCACGAA
RNAcentral lists this ribosomal RNA (719 nucleotides) under bacterium. RNAcentral describes it as "bacterial SSU rRNA". It matches the Rfam family "Bacterial small subunit ribosomal RNA", at positions 48 to 757 of the family's 1533-position model. The record is from RNAcentral.